This 374-nucleotide unclassified non-coding RNA is filed under the name uncultured bacterium. RNAcentral's name for it is "contains 16S-23S intergenic spacer region". The record is from RNAcentral.
UCCGGCUUAUCACCGGCGGUUUCUUUAGAGUGCCCAACUAAAUGAUGGCAACUAAAGACGAGGGUUGCGCUCGUUGCGGGACUUAACCCAACAUCUCACGACACGAGCUGACGACAGCCAUGCAACACCUGUGUAGGGCCCUUGCGGACACCGUGUCUCCACGGCUUUUCCCUACAUGUCAAGCCCUGGUAAGGUUCUUCGCGUCGCGUCGAAUUAAGCAACAUGCUCCGCUGCUUGUGCGGGUCCCCGUCAAUUCCUUUGAGUUUUAGCCUUGCGGCCGUACUCCCCAGGCGGAGUGCUUAAUGCGUUAGCUGCAGCACUAAAGGGCGGAAACCCUCUAACACUUAGCACUCAUCGUUUACAGCGUGGACUAC